Paramisgurnus dabryanus is the source of this 986-nucleotide non-coding RNA. Lineage: Eukaryota; Metazoa; Chordata; Actinopteri; Cypriniformes; Cobitidae. The record is from RefSeq and is a predicted model, not a curated record.
AUAGAAUUCUCUUUUACUAUUGCACUAAUUUUACUUUUUUUAUAUGUUGUCAGGAUUGAACAAGAAUCAGACAGCAAGGGUUGUCAGAUCAGAAACGUAAUAACACAAACAUAAGAAACUUCACAGGGCUGUGACAGUGACAGUAUUUUACCACCGCGAUGGUAAUGCACCAAUUCACCACUGUGGUGCGGUGGUUAUAGAAUGUGUUUGUGUGAGGGGGGAGGCGGCAAUUUCUUUUUCCGCCGGUGGGUGCUCAUCACAACCUCAAGCUUUACUUCGCAACGCCAGGUGCUCUAGAGUCUGGAGCGCUCAAAUGCUUUGAAGAGGUGGAAAGUGGCGCAGUCACGUUUUCGUGUGAAUUGUGAAGUUAAAGGCAGAUCACCGUGCAACUUGGUGAAGUCAUGUGUCUUUCCAGAUGGCCAAAUCUGUACCCCUCAAAAAAACUUUAUUAAAUGCCAUGAUAGACAAGAUGAGCCUUAAGAGGAGAUUUGGGAAGAUGCUGUUUCAUAAGUCUUUGCUUUGCCAGAUUAUCUGUGGUUGGGGUGUCUGCCAACGUGAUGCCUUGCUGGUCUGGUUUGAGUUUGAAGUCUCUCACAGACAGUCCAGAAGGUCUGGAGUCCAUCUUAGCUUUCAUUGAUGCUGUCAUCAUUUUUUAAGUGCAUGAGCCAGAAUGGACGGGUGGUGGUGGCCAUAAGAAGACUGUCAACUAAACUAGGGUGACCAUACGUGCCAUUCUUCCCGGACCCGUCCUGUCCAGUCUUUUGGAACUCCUAUUUGUCGACCGCAUAUGUCACAGAGGAUUAUUAUUAUUAUUACAGAAAAGCAACCGUUACAUUUUAAGGUAAGAAGAAUGAAACUACGAUUGUAUAUCUUAUGUUUUUAACUGAAUGGCGUAUGCGGUCAACAAAUACGACUUCCGGAAGACGCACCGAAAUCCUGGACGGGAUGCGUCCGGGAAGAAUGGCACGUAUGGUCACCCUAACUAA